UCGGGAAUUUUGCACAAUGGCCGAAAGGCUGAUGCAGCAACGCCGCGUGAGCGAAGAAGGCCUUCGGGUUGUAAAGCUCUGUUGCCUGCGAAGAAGGGCCCUGUCAGGAAAUGGGCGGGGUUUGACGGUAGCAGGCGAGGAAGCCCCGGCAAACUACGUGCCAGCAGCCGCGGUAAUACGUAGGGGGCGAGCGUUGUCCGGAAUUACUGGGCGUAAAGGGCGUGUAGGCGGCCUGUUAAGUCAGGGGUGAAAGACCGGGGCUCAACCCCGGGUGUGCCUCUGAAACUGGCGGGCUUGAGUGCUCUAGAGGGCAGUGGAAUUCCCGGUGUAGCAGUGAAAUGCGUAGAGAUCGGGAGGAACACCAGUGGCGAAGGCGGCUGCCUGGGGAGUCACUGACGCUGAGGCGCGAAAGCUAGGGGAGCGAACAGG
Molecule: ribosomal RNA, 429 nt
Filed under: bacterium
Lineage: Bacteria
Description: partial 16S ribosomal RNA
Rfam family: Bacterial small subunit ribosomal RNA
Source: RNAcentral